RNAcentral lists this ribosomal RNA (468 nucleotides) under uncultured bacterium. RNAcentral describes it as "partial 16S ribosomal RNA". It matches the Rfam family "Bacterial small subunit ribosomal RNA", at positions 28 to 507 of the family's 1533-position model. The record is from RNAcentral.
GACGAACGCUGGCGGCGUGCUUAACACAUGCAAGUCGAACGGAAAGGCCCUGCUUUUGUGGGGUGCUCGAGUGGCGAACGGGUGAGUAACACGUGAGUAACCUGCCCUUGACUUUGGGAUAACUUCAGGAAACUGGGGCUAAUACCGGAUAUGAGCUCCUGCGGCAUGGUGGGGGGUGGAAAGUUUCGGCGGUUGGGGAUGGACUCGCGGCUUAUCAGCGUGUGGGUGGGGUAGUGGCUUACCAAGGCGUUGACGGGUAGCCGGCCUGAGAGGGUGACCGGCCACAUUGGGACUGAGAUACGGCCCAGACUCCUACGGGAGGCAGCAGUGGGGAAUAUUGCACAAUGGGCGGAAGCCUGAUGCAGCAACGCCGCGUGCGGGAUGACGGCCUUCGGGUUGUAAACCGCUUUCGCCUGUGACGAAGCGUGAGUGACGGUAAUGGGUAAAGAAGCACCGGCUAACUACGUG